GGCAACGGAGGCCCAUCGCGAGCUGCGCCUUCUUUGUACUUUCUGUUCCAAUGCCUGCCUGGAGUUUCCUCGGGUUGUCGCAAUUCUGCUUACAUUUCCAAAGCCCUUUCUUUCUGUGCCUCACAGUGUCCCGGGAGUGCUGGGCCCGGGCACCGUGCGUAUAAAGUGUCAGGGAAGCAAGGGUGGAUGGGGGUGGCUGGCUUGGGUUUGAGGUCAUUUUCUUUAUUUCUUUUUUUUUUCAAAUUUCUUUCUUUAUUAAAGUCCUUGGCCUUAAUUUCAUGGAAAACACCCAUCCAUAACCGUUCCUUCCAUUUCUUUACCACGUUGUUCCCCCAGCUCUGGCUCUCCUCCCAUCUCACCUCCCUUUACAUGGUGCUGUUCUCUUUUUAGAAUCUAAGCUCUUUGAGGUCAGGCACUGCCUUAUUUACUGUUCCUGGAAGCCCCUGUGCUCUGGCCUUAGUCGGCCUCGUUUCCUCCAGCACAUUGCUUCCCUUCACAGCCAUCGUGCAGCUGUGUAGUCUUUCCCCGUGAGCUCUAAACAUGUUUUGGCACUGCCUGCUGACUGACAGUUUCCUUUGAGCCCCUCAGCUCAGCGUCUCUGUCCCUCCCCCUUUCCCUUCCGUGGCCACCAUCUAUUACCGGAUGCCUCAUCCUGGAAAGGCGGCCACUCUUGGUUUGAUAAAGUUAUAUCCGCCAAAGCUGAGCUCUGACAAGUGUUGCAAUGAUAUUGGAAGAGCUUCUGGGGAGGGACGAGGUCCAGCCAUGGACAACGUCUAGUGCCCAAGAACCGGGCUGCCUCAUUGCUUUAAGGUUGCCCCUCCCCCAUGCCCCAUGGUGUUCCGUGGUGUGGCGGGAGCUUCCGGAAGCCUGUGUGUCCCCAGCGACCGCCCAUCCCCCAUUGUUCCGGCACUCAUGCAAACCCUGCUAAGUGGUGCCGCCUUGUGGCUGAAGGGAAGAAUCUGAAGAGGAUCCAGGUGGAGACACACCUUUCUUGAUGGUGAUGAGAUUUUGAUCCAGAGCAUUGUGGAGAAUGGAGAGAAACCCCCAGUCUGCAUGCUGUGUAUUUAUCAAGCCUUCCACGGGUAGCUUUCGUAUUGCUGUGCAUGUCAGUUUUUAGUUAAAGACUGGUUGAUUAAAUUAAAUUCCUGAAGUUGCAAAGUAUGUAAGAAGACCCCUUCUCUCUUGAGUACAGCUUUCGGAAGUUUCCCAUUGCAUAAGGCAGGUAUCAUUUAAAAAGACCAGGGUCCUGUUGUCACAGGUGAGGAUGCUCCACUAAGCCUGGAGUGGAGUGCAGGGUGCUGAGUGUGGAAUGCUGCCUUCUCAGGGCCCUCAGUGCCUCCCUCCCUCCUUCAGUGUUAGCUGGGAGACUUUGGGGAAAUGGAUGUGAUUUCCAUGAGUAAGUGAGUACUUAUGUUAAUCAUUACUCUCAGAGAGAUUCCUUUGGCCUGGACUCUCAGCACUUUAUCUUGUGAAAUCAGCCUGUUAGCUCUGCCCCUUAACAUGUAUAUUUAUGCUUUUAGGCUGCCGAGAAACCUAAAAGGCACCUGAGCCUGAAUCCCAUGAAAUGAGUUGAACUUUGAGUGUAUGAGCUGCAGUUUCAUUAUAAAAGGCUUUUGAAGAUUUAAAUUUUGAAGAUGUCAACACCCCCAGUAGUUGCCAGUUCCAAUCUGGAGAGAUCCUCCCUCCCAGGAUGGAUGGAUGGAUGGAUGGAUGAAUGGAUGAAUGAAAGGAUGGAUAGAUGUUCCCUUGCCCUUCCCCUACAUCAAGAGGGUCCCCUAAGAGGUUGCUUGUGUUUUCUCCCAGAGAAGGAAAUCUCAAAUAGUUGGAAAGCAACCUUUAAAGGGCAAUUUUUUCCCUCCCAGGCCCGACAUUGUAGGACUUACUUUUUGCUUGUGGAGGAGAGAAGAGGCAGUCUCCCUACAGCACUAAAGCUGCCAAGGCUCCUGAGCCACUUGUCUGUUGUGUCUUGAUAAAUGAAACCUUCAUGAAGCUGUAAACACAACUCAACAACAUUCCUUGGGGAAGAAAGAAGCCGGAGUCCUAAAGUGUACUCAGCUCACAGUUUUAGGUGCUGGAAGGAUAUCUAACUAGAGAUAUCCAACGAACAGUUGGCAAUGCAAGACCGAAACUCAGGGGAGGAGAGCGGAAGCCACCACAUUUGAACUCUAGUAUAACCUUUUCCAAAAUGUUGCAUGAGAAAAUACAAAUGGCACAUAGAAAAAUGAAAAUGGAGAAAGCAGAUGGAUUAGAUCACGUACCCAAAGAAAAAGAUCCUCCUAGAAAACAAGCACUGAAUUCAGCACAGUACAACCUGCAACUAAUAUAUGCUGAUAGGUUAUCAGCUUUUACUAUCAGGAAUUCUUCCCAGUGAUAUCAAAAAUGAAGCCAGGAUAAAGUACAGAUGCUAAUUAGGACUUUGAUAUAUCCGCCUCCUCAAUAAAGGGAAUAAGACCAACUCUCUAAGUGAUCUCUUCAACCUAUCUAAAUGAUACUGAGAAAGAACAUGGCAUAGAGUCAGAAGCUCUGAGGUUGAAUCCAGAAGUGAACAAAUUCAUCACAAUUGAUCAAUACACUAAUAAAAUAAUGUUAUAUGUUUUGCUCUACAUACAUGGAUCUUCUCUCUACCUCAUUCCCACCUCUGCAAAGAAGUAGGGUCACUGAAAUCCAGUGGCAAGCCAAAAGUCAAGAUGUCCUGGGAUGCAGCACUCCACAGUGCCUCCUUCAACCACCGUAAAGGCCAUUGGAACAAAUUUUCUCAUGGGCCCAUUCUGCCAGUAGAAGUCCUCACAUAGUAAAGAAGAUGAGAAAUCAUGGAAUAAAGUAGAAUCCUACCUGGCAGAACCUUUGCCCACUUGACUACUUGAAUCAUCUGCU
Long non-coding RNA from Monodelphis domestica (gray short-tailed opossum), 2874 nucleotides. RefSeq lists it as uncharacterized. The record is from RefSeq and is a predicted model, not a curated record. NCBI's taxonomy places the organism in Eukaryota, Metazoa, Chordata, Mammalia, Didelphimorphia, Didelphidae.